This 5161-nucleotide long non-coding RNA is filed under the name Arabidopsis thaliana (thale cress). Lineage: Eukaryota; Viridiplantae; Streptophyta; Magnoliopsida; Brassicales; Brassicaceae. The record is from RNAcentral.
GAUGCGAUCAUACCAGCACUAAUGCACCAGAUCCCAUCAGAACUCCGCAGUUAAGCGUGCUUGGGCGAGAGUAGUACUAGGAUAGGGGACCAACCAGAAAGUCCUCGUGGUGCAUCCCACUUUUUCUUUCGGUUUUUCUCUAUUUUGUUUUGUUAAAAAUGUAUGACUCUAUAACGUUUAGACCGUGAGGCAAAACUUGGAAUGUGAUACCUUUUCGGAAAGCCCAAAGAGAGCUCUCCGAUAAAUGAGGAAGGAAAAUGGAAUUCUUCUAUUGGUUUUUUAUUCUACUCCAAAUUUUGACCUUAAUGUACUUUUUUGGUCUUUUUGGUGAUCUUUGCUAUAUGACAGGGCGAAAAUUAUAUGAUCGGACAUUGUUUUCGAAUAUUUUGCAUGUAUCAAAGCUCUUAUAAACAAGAUAGGGUAUUCCUACAUAGCUGGUGGGAGCCACGGCAAAUGGAUCUUAAAGUCUUCAAAAAAAGAAUAGAUACGAUUGCAUUGGAUGUAGUAAACGGAUGCGAUCAUACCAGCACUAAUGCAACGGAUCCCAUCAAAACUCCGCAGUUAAGCGUGCUUGGGCGAGAGUAGUACUAGGCUGGGUGACCUCCCGGACAGUCCUCGUGUUGCAUCCCUCUUUUCUUUUUCGGUUUUUCUCUAUUUUGUUUUGUUAAAAUUGUAUGACUCUAUAACUUUUAGACCGUGACGCCAAACUUCGCAUGUGAUACCUUUUCGGAAAGCCCAAAGAGAGCUCUCCGAUGAAUGAGGAAGGAAAAUGGAAUUCUUCUAUUGGUUUUUUUGCUAUUCCAAAUUUUGACCUUAAUGUACUUUUUUGGUCCUUUUCGUGAUAUUUGCUAUAUUACAGGGCAAAAAUUAUAUGAUCGGACAUUGUUUUCGAAUAUUUUGCAUGUAUCAAAGCUCUUAUAAACAAGAUAUGGUAUUCCUACAUGGCUGGUGUGACCCACGACAAAUGGAUCAUAAAGUCUUAAAAAAAAAGAUAGAUACGAUUGCAUUGCAUGUAGUAAACGGAUGCGAUCAUACCAGCACUAAUGCACCGGAUCCCAUCAAAACUACGCAGUUAAGCGUGCUUGGGCGAGAGUAGUACUAGGCUGGGUGACCUCCCGGAUAGUCCUCGUGUUGCAUCCCUCUUUUCUUUUUCGGUUUUUCUCUAUUUUGUUUUGUUAAAAUUGUAUGACUCUAUAACUUUUAGACCGUGAGGCCAAACUUUGCAUGUGAUACCUUUUCGGAAAGCCCAAAGAGAGCUCUCCGAUGAAUGAGGAAGGAAAAUGGAAUUCUUCUAUUGUUUGUUUUUUCUAUUCCAAAUUUUGACCUUAAUGUACUUUUUCGGGCUUUUUCGUGAUCUUUGCCAUAUUACGGGGCGAAAUUAUAUGUUCGGACAUUGGUUUUGAAUAUUUUGUAUGUAUCAAAGCUCUUAUAAACAAGAUAUGGUAUUCCUACAUGGCUGGCGUGACCCACAGCAAAUGGAUCAUAAAGUCUUCAAAAAAAGAAUAUAUACGAUUGCAUUGCAUGUAGUAACGGAUGCGAUCACACCAGCACUAAUGCACCAGAUCCAAUUAAAACUCCGCAGUUGAGCAUACUUGGGCGAGAGUAGUACUAGGAUGGGUGACCUCCCGGAAAGUCCUCGUGUUGCAUCCCUCUUUUCUUUUUUUUGUUAAAAAUGUACGACUUUAUAACUUUUAGACCAUGAGGCCAAACUUGGAAUGUGAUACCUUUUCGGAAAGCCCAAAGAGAGCUCUCCUAUGAAUGAGGAAAGAAAAUGGAAUUCUUCUAUUGGUUUUUUAUUCUACUCCAAAUUUUGACCUUAAUGUACUUUUUUGGUCUUUUUCGUGAUCUUUGCUAUAUGACAGGGCGAAAAUUAUAUGAUCGGACAUUGUUUUCGAAUAUGUUGCAUGUAUCAAAGCUCUUAUAAACAAGAUAGGGUAUUCCUACAUAGCUGGUGGGAGCCACGGCAAAUGGAUCUUAAAGUCUUCCAAAAAAGAAUAGAUACGAUUGCAUUGCAUGUAGUUAACGGAUGCGAUCAUACCAGCACUAAUGCAACGGAUCCCAUCAAAACUCCGCAGUUAAGCGUACUUGGGCAAGAGUAGUACUAGGAUGGGGGACCUACCAGAAAGUCCCCGUGGUGCAUCCGACUUUUUCUUUCGGUUUUUCUCUAUUUUGUUUUGCUAAAAAUGUAUGAUUCUAUAACGUUUAGACCGUCAGGCCAAACUUGGCAUGUGAUACCUUUUCGGAAGCCCAAAGAGAGCUCUCCGAUGAAUGAGGAAGCAAAAUGGAAUUCUUCUAUUGUUUUUUUUUUCUAUUCCAAAUUUUGAGCUUAAUGUACUUUUUCGGGCCUUUUCGUGAUCUUUGCUAUAUUACGGGGCGAAAAUUAUAUGUUUGGACAUUGUUUUCGAAUAUUUUGCAUGUAUCAAAGCUCAGAUAAACAAGAUAGGGUAUUCCUACAUACCUGGUGGGACCCACGGCAAAUGGAUAGUAAAAUCUUCAAAAAAGAAUAGAUACUAUUGCAUUGCAUGUAGUAAUGGAUGCGAUCAUAUCAGCACUAACGCACCGGAUCCCAUCAAAACUCCACAGUUAAGCGUGUUUGGGCGAGAGUAGUACUAGGAUGGGGGACCUACCAAAAAGUCCUCGUGGUGCAUCCCACUUUUUCUUUCGGUUUUUCUCUAUUUUGUUUUGUUAAAAAUGUAUGACUCUAUAACGUUUAGACCGUCAGGCCAAACUUGGCAUGUGAUACCUUUUCGGAAAGCCCAAAGAGAGCUCUCCGAUGAAUGAGGAAGCAAAAUGAAAUUCUUCUAUUGUUUUUUUUUCUAUUCCAAAUUUUGACCUUAAUGUAGUUUUUCGGGCCUUUUCGUGAUCUUUGCUAUGUUCGGACAUUGUUUUCGAAUAUUUUUCAUGUAUCAAAGCUCUUAUAAACAAGAUAUCGUAUUCCUACAUGGCUGGUGUGACCCACGACAAAUGGAUCAUAAAGUUUUCAAAAAAGAAUAGAUACGAUUGCAUUGCAUGUAGUAAACGGAUGCGAUCAUACCAGCACUAAUGCACCGGAUCCCAUCAAAACUCUACACUUAAGCGUGCUUGGGAGAGAGUAGUACUAGGAUGGGUGACCUCCAAGAAAGUCCUCGUGUUGCAUCCCUCUUUUCUUUUUUCGGUUUUUCUCUAUGUUUUUUUGUUAAAAUUGUAUGACUCUUUAACUUUUAGACCGUGAGGCCAAACUUCGCAUGUGAUACCUUUUCAGAAAGCCCAAAGAGAGCUCUCCGGUGAAUGAGGAAGGAAAAUUGAAUUUUUCUAUUGGUUUUUUUUUCUACUCCAAAUUUUGACGUUAAUGUACUUUUUGGGGCCUUUUCGUGAUCUUUGCUAUAUUACGGAGCGAAAAUUAUAUGUUUGGACAUUGUUUUCGAAUAUUUUGCAUGUAUCAAAGCUCUGAUAAACAAGAUAGGGUAUUCCUACAUAGCUGGUGGGACCCACGGCAAAUGGAUCGUAAAGUCUUCGAAAAAGAAUAGAUACGAUUGCAUUGCAUGUAGUAACGGAUGCGAUCAUACCAGCACUAACGCACCGGAUCCCAUCAAAACUGUGCAGUUAAGCGUGUUUGGGCGAGACUAGUACUAGGAUGGGUGACCUCACGGAAAGUCCUCGUGUUGGAUCCCUCUUUUCUUUUUUCGAUUUUUGUCCUCUUUUUUUUGUUAAGAAUGUAUGACUCUAUUACUUUUAGACAGUGAGGCCAAACUUCGCAUGUGAUACCUUUUCGGAAAGCCCAAAAAGAGCUCUCUGAUGAAUGAGGAAGGAAAAUUGAAUUCUUCUAUUCUUUUUUUUUCUACUCCAAAUUUUGACGUUAAGGUACUUUUUAAGGCCUUUUCGUGAUCUUUGCUAUAUUACGGAGCGAAAAUUAUAUGUUUGGACAUUGUUUUCGAAUAUUUUGCAUGUAUCAAAGCUCUCAUAAACAAGAUAGGGUAUUCCUACAUAGCUGGUGGGACCCACGACAAAUGGAUAGUAAAGUCUUCAUAAAAGAAUAGAUACUAUUGCAUUGCAUGUAGUAACGGAUGCGAUCAUAUCAGCACUAACGCACCGGAUCUCAUCAAAACUCCGCAGUUAAGCGUGUUUGGGCGAGAGUAGUACUAGGAUGGGUGACCUCCCGGAAAGUCCUCCUGUUGCAUCCCUCUUUUCUUUUUUCGGUGUUUCUCUAUUUUUUUUUGUUAGAAAUGUAUGACUCUAUAAGGUUUAGACAGUGACGCCAAACUUCGCAUGUGAUACCUUUUCAGAAAGCCCAAAGAGAGCUCUCCGAUGAAUGAGGAAGGAAAAUUGAAUUUUUCUAUUGGUUUUUUUUCUACUCCAAAUUUUGACGUUAAUGUACUUUUUUGGGCCUUUUCGUGAUCUUUACUAUAUUACGGAGCGAAAAUUAUAUGUUCGGACAUUGUUUUCGAAUAUUUUGCAUGUAUCAAAGGUCUUAUAAACAAGAUAGGAUAUUCCUACAUAGUUGGUGGGACCCAUGGCAAAUGGAUCGUAAAGUCUUCAAAAAAGAAUAGAUACGAUUGCAUUGCAUGUAGUAACGGAUGCGAUCAUACCAGCACUAAUGCACCUGAUCCCAUCAAAACUCCGUAGUUAAGCGUGCUUGGGGCGACAGUAGUACUAGGAUGGGUGACCUCCCGGAAAGUCCUCGUGUUGCAUCCCUCUUUUCUUUUUUCGGUUUUUCUUUUUCUUUUUUUGUUAAAAAUGUAUGACUCUAUAACUUUUAGACAGUGAGGCAAAACUUCGCAUGUGAUACCAUUUUGGAAAGCCCAAAGAGAGCUCUCCGAUGAAUGAGGAAGGAAAACUGAAUUCUUCUAUUGUUUUUUUUUCCAACUCCAAAUUUUGACGUUAAUGUACUUUUUUGGGCCUUUUCGUGAUCUUUGCUAUAUUGCGGAGCAAAAGUUAUAUAUUCGGACAUUGUUUUCGAAUAAUUUGCAUGUAUCAAAGCUCUUAUAAACAAGAUAGGGUAUUCCUACAUAGCUGGUGGGACCCACGGCAAAUGGAUCGUAAAGUCUUCAAAAAAGAAUAGAUACGAUUGCAUUGCAUGUAGUAACAGAUGCGAUCAUACCAGCACUAACGCACCAGAUCCCAUCAAAACUGUGCAGUUAAGCGUGCUUGGACGAGAGUAGUACUAGGAUGGGUGACCUCCCGG